AGUGCUGUAGCUCAGUGACAGUGUACUUGCCUUGAAAUCAUAAGGCUCUGGGUUCAAUCCCCAGCACUGCCA
This 72-nucleotide transfer RNA is filed under the name Neotoma lepida (desert woodrat). It matches the Rfam family "tRNA". From Rfam's summary of the family: Transfer RNA (tRNA) molecules are approximately 80 nucleotides in length. Lineage: Eukaryota; Metazoa; Chordata; Mammalia; Rodentia; Cricetidae. The record is from Rfam by way of RNAcentral.